GUGUCAGCCGCCGCGGUAAUACGGAGGGGACUAGCGUUGUUCGGAAUUACUGGGCGUAAAGCGCGCGUAGGCGGAUUUGCAAGUCGGGGGUGAAAGCCCGAGGCUCAACCUCGGAACUGCCCUCGAUACUGCAAAUCUCGAGUCCGAGAGAGGUGAGUGGAAUUCCUAGUGUAGAGGUGAAAUUCGUAGAUAUUAGGAAGAACACCAGUGGCGAAGGCGGCUCACUGGCUCGGUACUGACGCUGAGGCGCGAAAGCGUGGGGAGCAAACAGGAUUAGAUACCCCCGUAGUCC
Molecule: ribosomal RNA, 292 nt
Filed under: uncultured bacterium
Lineage: Bacteria
Description: partial 16S ribosomal RNA
Rfam family: Bacterial small subunit ribosomal RNA
Source: RNAcentral